GAUGAACGCUAGCGAUAGGCUUAACACAUGCAAGUCGAGGGGCAGCAUGGUCUUAGCUUGCUAAGACUGAUGGCGACCGGCGCACGGGUGCGUAACGCGUAUGCAACUUGCCUCACAGAGGGGGAUAACCCGUCGAAAGACGGACUAAUACCGCGUACACUCCAUCUUGGGCAUCCAAGGUAGAGGAAAUGAAAUUCGCUGUGAGAUAGGCAUGCGUCCCAUUAGCUAGUUGGUGAGGUAACGGCUCACCAAGGCGACGAUGGGUAGGGGAACUGAGAGGUUGAACCCCCACACUGGUACUGAGACACGGACCAGACUCCUACGGGAGGCAGCAGUGAGGAAUAUUGGUCAAUGGGCGAGAGCCUGAACCAGCCAAGUCGCGUGAAGGAUGACUGUCUUAUGGAUUGUGAACUUCUUUUAUACGGGAAUAACAAGAGUCACGUGUGACUCCCUGCAUGUACCGUAUGAAUAAGCAUCGGCUAACUCCGUG
Molecule: ribosomal RNA, 490 nt
Filed under: uncultured bacterium
Lineage: Bacteria
Description: partial 16S ribosomal RNA
Rfam family: Bacterial small subunit ribosomal RNA
Source: RNAcentral